Molecule: unclassified non-coding RNA, 2979 nt
Filed under: Hevea brasiliensis (rubber tree)
Lineage: Eukaryota; Viridiplantae; Streptophyta; Magnoliopsida; Malpighiales; Euphorbiaceae
Source: RNAcentral
GUCACCCUCAAACAUACACCAAUCCACGAGCUACUAUUUUGGGCGUGCUCAACUGAAGGUGGGGAGGGUACGUGUUGGGUCCUAGGGCUUUUGGUGGGUGGUAGUGAUUAAGCCAAUGCCUAUCCGCGAGCUGUUGAAGCUAAGAAGCUAGUUCAAAGGUGGGGAGGCUAUAAGUGGUGGAUCUAAGGGCUUCUGACGAUUGAAGAUGGCGAUUAUCUGUGGGCUCUCUCUCUCUCUCUCUGUGCUAAUGGCACAAAAAGAGUUGCAGCUACGAGUAGAGAAGAAUGGAGAGUUGUUGCGAAAGUUAGUGGAUGAACAGCCAUCCUUCCAAAAUUGUAUAUACAAAAUGUGAACAGCAGCCAUCUCCUUCCUCGUCUGCUAUUAUGUCUUCAUCUAAACAAUCAACUCAUGAAGUCACCAAAUAUGAGUCAAAAUUUAAGAGAGGAUAAAAUAAUUCACAGAGAAAUUAAUGAUGUUGCCUUUGCAAAAUUAUGUAAAUGUGUCUAAGAUAUCACAUCUGAAAGCCGACUGAAAACAUUAAGAAAUGAACAAGGGAUAGGAAGAAGAUACAGCAUGAAAGGCUUUAUAGAACAAAUAAAAAUAAUGAAACAGGAGAAUGUUGUUUAAAAUUAAAAAUAAUAGCAUGCUGAAUCCAAGUACAAGAAUAAAAUUUUAUCCUCUAAUAGAUAGUAGACUAAUUGCAAACCAUGUUAACCAUUCCACCAGCUUCAACAUCUAUGAUUUCCCACAUGAGAACCAUUCGAUCCACCAGACCACAAUAUUCUUUGUUCAUUUUCAUCUGUCAUUACCAUCACUAGCACGAUCUUUUCCUGUCAUCAAAGCUAAAGUGCAAAUCACUAUAUGCUAUAGUUGAGGUAACCUAAAUAUCCAUUACCUCCAGUAUAAUAAACCCAUUCAGCUCUAAUUCAACAAGGUUGUUUGCUAGCAGAAAAACUAAUGGGAAGUCAGCAUCUUUUUCCCCUUGCUUGUUCUAUUGCGUGAUCCACUCAGAGCUGCUUUUGCAUUUGCCCACUCUUUUAGUGAUGCAUCAGUCCUCAUAAAUGAGCACGUCUCACCAAUUACAAUAUCUCCUUUACGUGGUCGCUUUGUAGCUGAAUUUUGUUUAUUCUCUGUUGAUGCUGAAGCAUUGUCACUUCCCAGAACAUGGAGCUGCCUAGGUUCAACAGUUUUUUGUACAUCACAGUCCCUUAUAAUCUGCAAAUCCAUAGUACCAUCUACAAAAGAUUCACUUUUACCCUUUUCAAUUGUAUUAUUGUUCUUAUGAUCUCUAGCAUCAGUUGUUAUUACACCAUGAGGUUUUGCAAGCUCUUGCUUUUCAAAAGUAACACCUGGCAAGAUUUGGGUGAUGCUGAAUGAACUGCCGUUAUUACUAUUGACCAAUUGUGUCCAUGAAGUUUUGUGGAGCCACGCAGAACCUCUACCUGUCUUAUUUGAAGAAGAAUCCAUUUUGGCAGGCUGAGCUUCCACAAGCUCUUCUACUUCAGUUUUGUCCGACUGAACUCUCUGAUUUUCAUGCCUCAAUAAUUUCUUGUUCUUGCUGUUAAUGGAGUUGGGUACACCAUCAGAUUUGGAUUGCUCUUUCUUAUCAGAUGAAAUGCCAGGCAAUAUGCCCGAGAUGUUAAUGGCACUAUUGCUCCUAUCCCCAAUAAGUUCUUUCCAUGAAGACUUUUGUGACCAUGAAAGUUUGGGAGCUGAUUGUUUGUCACCUGAUUGUGGUUCAAUAAGUUGAGCCCCUGGGAGAAUUGCUGACCCAUUUAAAUGAGCCUGCAAAUUCCCCUUGCCUCUAGCAAUGGCAGAUUCAUAUUCGUUUUCAUUAUUUUCUUCAUGAUUUCUAGUCUGCUUUUCAAGCAUAUCCUCAGUCGAUCCAUCUUUAGGAGCUUUCCUUUUAUUUAAUUUUGACUCCUUGGCAUUGAGAAAGCAAACAGAGUUGGAAUUCAAACUCUAAAGAGAAGUAGUAUACAAGUCAAUGCCUAAAAAACUUAACACCAUUAAUUACGUUAACAUAUGCCUGAUCAGUGAAGGAUGUUACCUGUCCUCGGCUCACCACAUUAAUUAUGAGGUUAUCUUCAUCUGCAGUAGAAUAUCCGUCACUCUCAUCAAGUAGUGGAUCAUUGGUCACUUGCAUGGAAUAGUCUUCUUCCUUGGUCAGUUCAAUGUCACUAUGUGCAGUGGUUGAAAUAUUUUCCAUCUCAAAGAGCUUAUUCAUCACAGAAUUCAUCACGUCAAGUUCUUCCUUAGUCAUCCCGCCCCCUUGUUCUUCCUGAACAGGAAUUUGCUUUUCUUCAGCAUGAUGGAGUGGACCAGAAUGCUCUUCACAAUCACAAAAAUGUGUAGGAAGAGAAGGAACUUCAACACGCCUGAAACUGUACUUGUGCUUGCCAGUUCCACUGAAUGGUAGUGAUUUCACCUUCUGUAAUCUCGGGAAAAAAAUGUUAAGUUGCUUCUUUCUUGAACUGUGUACUUCCCUGGGCCUUUCCAAUGACUCCAACUCCUUGCCUACAUCAUCAUUGACAUGAGUAGUAUAUUUACCACUGGCAAGCUGAGCAUCUUCAGCCCAUUCCCGUUUCAAUCGAUCAAGAAAAUUUUCUUUUGCCUUCUCAAGUCUCAGUCUCCCACCCUUCCAGACACAACCAUUAUAAGUGCUGAAGAGCUUGGAGAGGCAAUUAUGGGAAGAAGGUAAAAAGUCGAGGUAGGCAAAGCUACGGCCUUUGGUCCUGAUGAUGUCAACAGAUUCAAUCUCACCAUCCAUUUUUGAGAAAAUUUUUUGCAAAUCAUCAGUAGUCACGCUCUCCCCUAAUCCUCCCACGUAGAUUCUUACUCUUGUUCUUGUGAAAUUGUCGUCUGCUCCCAUAUCUUUCUUCUUUCUUCCUGCGGCGAUUUCCUGCAUAAAUACCUGCCCUUUUAUUUUGAGUUGGUCUCUAUUUCAAAACCCCUAAUGCUUGAGGGGUGGAUGGAAAG